Molecule: long non-coding RNA, 538 nt
Organism: Exaiptasia diaphana
Lineage: Eukaryota; Metazoa; Cnidaria; Anthozoa; Actiniaria; Aiptasiidae
Exons: 2
Source: RefSeq, a predicted model, not a curated record
ACUUUUUAAAUAUUUCAAACACAGUAGGCUACAAAUCCAACCUACAAACCGCCAGUUGUUAUAUAAAGGCCAAAGUUAAAACGUUGCAAAGUUACGCUUGAUAUUCACUUCUGUUAGUUACUAGAACGAAGUAAGAACUAAAACAAGAGCAUGCCUUCUUGCAAGUUGUAUGUUUUCUCGGCGCUUUUACUAAGUUUAGUCAUUCUAUCAUCUUCUCAUAAACACUACACUUCACCGAUUGGUAAAAGAAGGAGAGAUACUAUUGAGUCCAACAGCGACGUAAACUUCGUUUCAAAAAGUGCACAAUGCAUCGACUUGAAACUAAAAGAAUUCUACAGAACUGCUAUUGAAGACUGCCUAAGAGACGCCACAGACUCAAGAAAGAGAGUGUUUUUCAGAUAGGACAAAUGCCUCAAAAUCAAAAUGUCAAAAUGUCGAAUUAUAAAACUAAAAUGGACUAAAUCUUUGCUUUGAGAUUCAAUGAAUUGUAAAAUUGAAAAUAAACUAUUUGUUGAAUAAAAAUGUGCAUUGUUAUGAA